CCUACGGGAGGCAGCAGUGAGGAAUAUUGGUCAAUGGGCUUACGCCUGAACCAGCCAAGUCGCGUGAGGGAAGACUGCCCUAUGGGUUGUAAACCUCUUUUGGCAGGGAGCAACGCCGGCUACGUGUAGCCGGACUGAGAGUACCUGAAGAAAAAGCAUCGGCUAACUCCGUGCCAGCAGGCGCGGUAAUACGGAGGAUGCGAGCGUUAUCCGGAUUUUUUGGGUUUAAAGGGUGCGUAGGCGGAAUGCCAAGUCAGCGGUAAAAUCGCGGGGCUCAACCUCGCUCCGCCGUUGAAACUGGCGUUCUUGAGUGGGCGAGAAGUAUGCGGAAUGCGUGGGGUAGCGGUGAAAUGCAGAGAUAUCACGCAGAACUCCGAUUGCGAAGGCAGCAUACCGGCGCCCAACUGACGCUGAAGCACGAAAGCGUGGGUAUCGAACAGGAUUAGAUACCCGAGUAGUC
This 460-nucleotide ribosomal RNA is filed under the name uncultured bacterium. RNAcentral describes it as "partial 16S ribosomal RNA". It matches the Rfam family "Bacterial small subunit ribosomal RNA", at positions 338 to 795 of the family's 1533-position model. The record is from RNAcentral.